This is a long non-coding RNA of Nilaparvata lugens (brown planthopper), 744 nucleotides long. RefSeq lists it as uncharacterized. The record is from RefSeq and is a predicted model, not a curated record. The transcript has 3 exons. Lineage: Eukaryota; Metazoa; Arthropoda; Insecta; Hemiptera; Delphacidae.
AAUCAGUUAGCUAGACUCAAAUGUUCCAUUUUCAAAUCUGAAAAAUUCAUAUCACCUCUCCUUUUGUCUUCUUUCAGAUUAAUACUAAUGACUAGCUAGAUUAACUCAGAUGAGGUUGAACGCAGCCCAAAUUAUAGCUCCCACAUCAUUAAUGAAAGCCCUCGGAUUUUCAGGAAAUUUUUCUGUGUCAUAAAGUGCGAAAUCAAAAUUUUCAAUAUUUUGUUUAUGUUUCCAAUUCCAUAGAUCAAGGAGAUAUCGUUGAGUACGGAUCAUUUUUUAUGGUGAGGACUCAGUUCUAUUCAAGCGAAAGCUUGAGGUGUUGAAUAAACUGAAUGAUGUUCUACCUAUCCAACCAAGCACUUGAAUGAGAGGAAUACAGUAAGCAUAAUAAUCUUCACAAUAGUGAACUUUUUUGAGAAGAAGAAGAGAAUGAAAUUGUUCGAUCUAUUAUUACUUUUGAUUGGAUCAACAUUCGAUACAGGAUUUGCUAAUCCCAUCAAAGAACACACAUUAAAUGGGAUAGUUAUCAAUCAAGAUAAUGUUGAUAACUCUCAUCUGUUAUCCGAUAACGUUCAUCCAUUUCAUGAAAAUUUGAAAGUUGUAAAACAUGUUGAAGAAGGUUUUUCGGAUUUCAAGUAUGCUGAUAUGAUUGAAAUUGAUAAGAUACUACAAGAAAAUGAAAUUAUCGCAGAAAAAAAUACAGAACAAAUUCCAGAAGAUCACAUGAUUCACAAGCCCAAAAAA